RNAcentral lists this ribosomal RNA (459 nucleotides) under uncultured bacterium. Its description in RNAcentral is "partial 16S ribosomal RNA". It matches the Rfam family "Bacterial small subunit ribosomal RNA", at positions 338 to 795 of the family's 1533-position model. The record is from RNAcentral.
CCUACGGGAGGCAGCAGUGAGGAAUAUUGGUCAAUGGGCGGAAGCCUGAACCAGCCAAGUAGCGUGCGGGAUGAAGGCCCUACGGGUCGUAAACCGCUUUUGCACGGGGAUAACACCCUCCACUUGUGGAGGUCUGCAGGUACCGUGCGAAUAAGGGCCGGCUAAUUCCGUACCAGCAGCCGCGGUAAUACGGAAGGCCCGAGCGUUGUCCGGAUUCAUUGGGCUUAAAGGGAGCGUAGGCGGGCGUUCAAGUCAGCUGUAAAAUCGCGCGGCUCAACCGCGCCCCGCAGUUGAAACUGGACGCAUUGAGUUCACAACAGGCAGGCGGAAUUCGUGGUGUAGCGGUGAAAUGCAUAGAGAUCACGAGGAACCCCGAUUGCGAAGGCAGCCUGCCGGGGUGCGACUGACGCUGAGGCUCGAAGGUGCGGGUAUCAAACAGGAUUAGAUACCCCUGUAGUC